Suricata suricatta (meerkat) is the source of this 509-nucleotide long non-coding RNA. RefSeq lists it as uncharacterized. Lineage: Eukaryota; Metazoa; Chordata; Mammalia; Carnivora; Herpestidae. The record is from RefSeq and is a predicted model, not a curated record. The transcript is spliced from 2 exons.
CGCGGGGCCCUGCGGGGCUCCUGGCGGAGCAGCUCUUCCUCUGGAAGUCGGGUCGCAGGGCGGGCGGCCACCUCCCAACCGCAGGGGACCUAAGGUUAGGGGCUGUUCUGAACUCAGGAGGUGAGGAAAGUCUCCGUGAGGAAAGACGGCUUUGCCAGACCUGCCGCCGUCAGAUGGUGUGACGCAGCAGCAACGGAAAGAAAAACAACCCACCUGUUGCCUGAGCAGAUACCACCACCAGCCCGAGCCAAUAUUCCCGCUGUUUUAGUGAGCCCUUAGUUUUAAAUUAGCCAAUCACCCUGUGCCACGCCAACCUCUGCCAACGUGCCACCCAAUCAUCUUGAAAUCCCAGCCCCUCACUCCACCCUUCACGCCAUCCCUCGCGCCUACUGUAAUAAAAACCCUGCUCAACUGAUGAUCAGGGCUCUCACCAUGGAUCCACUGUGUUGGUGAGAUCUGAGAGACCGAGGUUAAGCCUGAAUAAACGCCCUUUGCUUUUGCAUACGUGA